Haemorhous mexicanus (house finch) is the source of this 1658-nucleotide long non-coding RNA. RefSeq lists it as uncharacterized. The record is from RefSeq and is a predicted model, not a curated record. The transcript is spliced from 2 exons. NCBI's taxonomy places the organism in Eukaryota, Metazoa, Chordata, Aves, Passeriformes, Fringillidae.
AGGACAUCAUUCCUCAUCCUCCUUACCUCUGAAGAAGUGGGUUUGCAGUAGCCAGCUCCAAACACUAGAUUUUCUAAUGACAUACUGGACUGGUCUGGUCCCGCCUCCAGGUUGCCUUUACCAAGCCAUGAACCUUUCCCUGGACGAGCAAAGCUGCAAGAAGAAAAAUUGAGAAGAAAAUAGUAAUCAGAGGAACAUUGUUAGAGAAGAAUCAUUGUUGUCCCAGUAUAAUUCCCUUGCUUAGAAAAGACUUACAAUUUUGCCUGCAAGAUCCAGCAAUCAAAAUUUAAGACCUUUCUGACUCAAAGGUUAUAUUCAAGCAAUUAUUUCCAGCAAUCAUGGUUACCUUCUACGAAUUUGUGUCCACGACUUUGUGAUUUAUACUUUUGGCCUCUGUAACAUCUUUUGGAAUGAAUUUCUCGUUGUAAUAAGUGCUGGACUUUCUGGUUCUUUUGAACACGCUGUUGCAGAAUUCUAUGUGGCAACAUUAGGUUCUUGUUUAGCACAAAAUAUUAAAUAAUCAUUCCCUGUUUUUUUCCCUUCUAUGGACAAUUAUCUUACAUAUAAAUGAAAUUACAGUUUCCUAGCAUAAGGAAUUCAAUGGCCUUGAUAAAUGUUAAUUCAGAUGUGUUAUUGAAGCAAAUCAGAACAAUUACUUUAGGGUAGUUUAAUAGAAAACCAUUCUCUCUUUCAGAUUCACCUUCCCAAAAAAGAAAUACUUUUCUUUCAUUUUUAGUUUUGUUUUGGGUCUUUCUUUUUGUAGCAGGGAAGGGUUUAGUUGUUUCGGGUUUUUUUGGUAAGCAAAUUUUUUUCACAAAGCGAAGUUUUAGCAGAAUGGGGAGAAAAAAUUGGGCUCUGAUUCUUGCUUGGGGGAAAAAAAAACGUAUCUUGCACUAUAUGAAAUUAUCAAACUCUAAAAAACCAAAACCAAACAACCUCCAUACACACACGAUCAUCACAUUUCUAAUGACAAGAAAUUUCAAUCUUGUGAGUAAACCAGGAGUGGAAAUUCAAGAAAUAAAUUUGUAUCCCACUUAGGCCAGAUCCUUGGAGAAACCACUUCUUUAUAUCUCAGUCCCUUAUACAUAAAAUAAUACUGCUUUAAAAAUUGAAAAUAUAAGUCUGUCCCAUAGAAAUAGCAUAACUCAGAAUUAAACCCUCACAGUCCCCAUUAUCAUGUGUUUUCAUUUCACCACUGAAUUCCUUCUCCCACAGAUCAUGAAAAUUGUAGUGACAACACCAAUUUCCCUCAUUGUUUUAACUCAAAACUUUAAUAUAUCUUUUGGAAAAUUCCUACUGGCACAUGGCCAUAGGGUAUAUGGGUGAUCUGUUAUUUUUUUUUAAGAAUAAUCUGUGGAUAUUUAGGAUUGUGUUCCUCUAGGCAUGGUCCUCUCUUACCCAAGGAGUUUCACUAAGGUUAUAAUCAGUUACUGUAAAAUAUUCUGAGUUUUUGGGUAAAAGGGAUAAGGUUUACUAAAAUUAAAUUUUAAUGAAAAUACAUAUCUCUCCUAAGAUACCAAACAGAGUCAAGGGGGAAUCUGGUUUGAAAUCUUUAGUGAUUUUGACUGCUGGAAAAUGCUGGCUCAUUUGUCCUGAACUUAACCUUGUUUCCUAUAAAACUUGCAAGCAGAUAAAGCCAUGUGGUAAUAUUUAAUUUA